This 1210-nucleotide long non-coding RNA is filed under the name Gallus gallus (chicken). RNAcentral describes it as "lncRNA (ENSGALG00010016995.1)". Lineage: Eukaryota; Metazoa; Chordata; Aves; Galliformes; Phasianidae. The record is from RNAcentral.
CCCAGUGCUACAAGGACUACGACACACACGACACGUACUCCUCACUGCUCACUAAAGCACGACGCGUUUGUAACCGUGAUGCUUCAAACUCAACAGCGCGUACAGCAUGAAUGCCAUCUCUGAACACCACAGCUGCCUUCUUUCCUUACCAAACGAACCAAAAGGAACCUACAGGCACACGGAGCAGAGGGGCAGCAGCAUCUCCUCUCCUCUCCUACGUUACCGCCUCUCUCGCGACGACAACAAUUUGUUCACAUUCACGGUAGUUAAUUCUCCGCUUGGGGGGUGGGGAGGAAACAGAGAAAGAAGAAAGAAGAAAAAAAGCAAAGGCAAAAAAAAAAAAAAAAAAAAAAAAAAAAAAACAAAAAGAGACCAAAAGAGAGCAGCAGAAGUGUCUGUGCACACCAACUCUGCAGAAGGGCUGCACACACCGCCUGCACACAGAGCUGCAGUGGUGGAUCUCCAGCAGUGCUCUCCCGGAGCGCAGCACCGCAGUGCGCAUCCCAUGGGCUGAGCGGGGCCCAGAGCCAUUCCCAAGCACUGAAGGGCACCUGAACUGCCAUGAAACGUAUAACAUUCAAAAAGAUUUAAGAAAGGAUGAAAAUUUAGUUUCCUGUCUCGCUCGGAAACGAACUUCUGCUGCAUGGCAGAAAGAGUACUUCUUUGGAUGCUGAAUGUCAGUGCCUUCAGCACUACCUCCAGACAAAGCACGGCUGGCACGGGUUACCAUUCAGCAUAUCCGUGACCCCUACAAAAAAUAUAAUUACAUGUAUCAUGAUAAAGCAAUCUGUCAUCUAAAAAUCAUCCUUAUUAUACACUAUACAAGCUAUUUUACAGUCAUUAAUAAAUUGCUUUUAAAGCUGCAGUAGCCCUUCCCUUCUUUUCUCAGAUCAGCGAAUAUACCGAUUAUACAUAUUGGAAACUAUAACUAAAUACAAAAAUAUAUUAGGUUUUGUAUCUUCCCAGAUGAUUUUUCUCAUCGUUAUUACACAAAUAAUCGGGCCACUUUCAGUACAAAUAAAUUUUAGAGUGGCUUGGUAAAUAUUUCAAUUUCGAGAUAAAGAAAAUCGUUAAGGUGCAGGUAGAAAAGGCUACUACAGCUUCUAAACGUUUUAAAAUACAGCUACCCAUGGCAACGAGGAGAAAUUCACGAGACCUAUGGCAGAUUUAUGGCACGCUAGUCACUCGAUAGGAAGGGAUGCAGCCGUAC